GGGCGUGUGGCUCAGUUGGUAGAGCGUUCGCUUAGCAUUAUGAUUGAUUCUUCCAAGAAUCGCAUCUUGCGAAAGGUCCUAAGUUCGAUUCUUAGCUCGUCCA
This is a non-coding RNA of Apodospora peruviana, 103 nucleotides long. The record is from the annotation of a GenBank genome assembly. NCBI's taxonomy places the organism in Eukaryota, Fungi, Ascomycota, Sordariomycetes, Sordariales, Lasiosphaeriaceae.